AUUGAACGCUGGCGGAAUGCUUUACACAUGCAAGUCGAGCGGCAGCACGGGGGCAACCCUGGUGGCGAGCGGCGAACGGGUGAGUAACACAUCGGAACAUGCCCAGUCGUGGGGGAUAACACUUCGAAAGAAGUGCUAAUACCGCAUACGUCCUGAGGGAGAAAGCGGGGGAUCGCAAGACCUCGCGCGAUUGGAGUGGCCGAUGUCAGAUUAGCUAGUUGGUGGGGUAAAGGCCUACCAAGGCAACGAUCUGUAGCUGGUCUGAGAGGAUGAUCAGCCACACUGGGACUGAGACACGGCCCAGACUCCUACGGGAGGCAGCAGUGGGGAAUUUUGGACAAUGGGGGCAACCCUGAUCCAGCCAUUCCGCGUGAGUGAAGAAGGCCUUCGGGUUGUAAAGCUCUUUCGGCAGGAACGAAACGGUGAGCUCUAACAUAGCUUGCUAAUGACGGUACCUGAAGAAGAAGCACCGGCUAGCUACGUG
This 484-nucleotide ribosomal RNA is filed under the name uncultured bacterium. Its description in RNAcentral is "partial 16S ribosomal RNA". It matches the Rfam family "Bacterial small subunit ribosomal RNA", at positions 30 to 507 of the family's 1533-position model. The record is from RNAcentral.